RNAcentral lists this ribosomal RNA (520 nucleotides) under uncultured bacterium. RNAcentral's name for it is "bacterial SSU rRNA". It matches the Rfam family "Bacterial small subunit ribosomal RNA", at positions 382 to 916 of the family's 1533-position model. The record is from RNAcentral.
CCUGACGCAGCGACGCCGCGUGAGUGAUGAAGGCCUUCGGGUUGUAAAGCUCUGUCGAGGGGGACGAAUUCUGACGGUACCCCUCAAGAAAGUGCCGGCUAACCCUGUGCCAGCAGCCGCGGUAAUACAGGGGGCACUAGCGUUGCUCGGAAUCACUGGGCGUAAAGCGUACGCAGGCGGAUGAUUAAGUCGUGGGUGAAAGCCUGGAGCUCAACUCCAGAAGUGCCCUCGAUACUGGUCAUCUUGAGUACGGGAGAGGUGAGUGGAAUUCCUGGUGUAGAGGUGAAAUUCGUAGAUAUCAGGAGGAACACCGGUGGCGAAAGCGGCUCACUGGCCCGAUACUGACGCUCAUGUACGAAAGCGUGGGGAGCAAACAGGAUUAGAUACCCUGGUAGUCCACGCUGUAAACGAUGAGUGCUAGCUGCUGGAGAUCCUUUUUUUCUUCGGUGGCGUAGCUAACGCGUUAAGCACUCCGCCUGGGGAGUACGGUCGCAAGACUAAAACUCAAAGGAAUUGACGG